Molecule: ribosomal RNA, 451 nt
Filed under: uncultured bacterium
Lineage: Bacteria
Description: partial 16S ribosomal RNA
Rfam family: Bacterial small subunit ribosomal RNA
Source: RNAcentral
AUUGAACGCUGGCGGCAGGCUUAACACAUGCAAGUCGAGCGGGCAUAGCAAUAUGUCAGCGGCAGACGGGUGAGUAACGCGUGGGAACGUACCUUUUGGUUCGGAACAACACAGGGAAACUUGUGCUAAUACCGGAUAAGCCCUUACGGGGAAAGAUUUAUCGCCGAAAGAUCGGCCCGCGUCUGAUUAGCUAGUUGGUGAGGUAAUGGCUCACCAAGGCGACGAUCAGUAGCUGGUCUGAGAGGAUGAUCAGCCACAUUGGGACUGAGACACGGCCCAAGCUCCUACGGGAGGCAGCAGUGGGGAAUAUUGGACAAUGGGCGCAAGCCUGAUCCAGCCAUGCCGCGUGAGUGAUGAAGGCCCUAGGGUUGUAAAGCUCUUUUGUGCGGGAAGAUAAUGACGGUACCGCAAGAAUAAGCCCCGGCUAACUUCGUGCCAGCCGCCGCCGUAA